RNAcentral lists this ribosomal RNA (502 nucleotides) under uncultured bacterium. Its description in RNAcentral is "partial 16S ribosomal RNA". It matches the Rfam family "Bacterial small subunit ribosomal RNA", at positions 29 to 523 of the family's 1533-position model. The record is from RNAcentral.
AUUGAACGCUGGCGGAAUGCUUUACACAUGCAAGUCGAACGGCAGCACGGGUGCUUGCACCUGGUGGCGAGUGGCGAACGGGUGAGUAAUACAUCGGAACGUACCCUGACGUGGGGGAUAACGUAGCGAAAGUUACGCUAAUACCGCAUACGUCCAGAGGGAGAAAGCAGGGGAUCGUAAGACCUUGCGCGUUAGGAGCGGCCGAUGGCGGAUUAGCUAGUUGGUAGGGUAAGGGCCUACCAAGGCGACGAUCCGUAGCGGGUCUGAGAGGACGACCCGCCACACUGGAACUGAGACACGGUCCAGACUCCCACGGGAGGCAGCAGUGGGGAAUUUUGGACAAUGGGCGAAAGCCUGAUCCAGCCAUUCCGCGUGAGUGAAGAAGGCCUUCGGGUUGUAAAGCUCUUUCGGCAGGGAAGAAACGGUUUUGGAUAAUACCCAGAACUAAUGACGGUACCUGAAGAAGAAGCACCGGCUAACUACGUGCCAGCCGCCGCGGUAA